CGCUGCCUACCGCUUAAUACUCUCCCCAAGCCUCGUUUGAAGAAGGGAAGCCUAUACCAAUUUUUUUUUUGUACGAUUGUUUGUCACUAAACUUCUUCUAAGCUGCUGAAGGGGUGUUGUUUAAAUUUGUGUAUAUUUUAGUGGGUCCCUGUGUAUUUUUCAUUUACAAAUACAUCCUUACUGUCAGGGCAUUUUAUGAGCCUGCACUGGUAGAUACCACCCUACCUAUGUCUGCCGUGAAGCAGUGAUGCAUUUCGGUUUGAACGACGGGACAAUCGUUGUACUAUAAAGCUGAGAUUUAGAUUUAGAACUUAAGUCUUAGGUUAUUUAGUGUUAAGGUGGGUGGCAACAUAUACGUUCUUGUUGUCUAUGGGCUCCGGUGAUUAUUUAACACAAGGGGGCCGUGAGCUGGUCCACCGAUUUAAGCAAUAAAAAUAUAAAAAACAUCCGAUCAGUGGACACUAUUAUUGGGUUCUAGAUAUUUGCUUUUAUUGUAGAACUGGACAUGCCAUAUUUUCAUAUAACAUAAAUUUUUUUAUUGCUUAGAAGGGUGGACGAGCUCACAGCCCACCUGGUGUUAAGUGGUUACUGGAGCCCAUAGACAUCUACGACGUCAAUGCGCCACCCACCUUGAGAUAUAAGUUCUAAGGUCUCAAGUAUAGUUACAACGGCUGCCCCACUCUUCAAACCGAAACGCAUUACUACUUCACGGCAGAAAUAGGCGGGGCUACCUACCCGCGCGGACUCACAAGAGGUCCUACCACCAGUAAAAUAUAUCAGUAUAAAUAUAUUGCUUAUAUAGAAUUUACACGAAGAUAGCCGGAAUCCUAGUAGGAUAAAGCGAACUUGUAUCGUGUGGUAUUAUGUGAUGUUUUAAUGAAUUACGUCCACCAUAAUUUGAUUGAACGAUUUCACAGAUGUACAUCUACAUUUAAAAACACAAAAGUAAAUUUGUAGACUUUAAUAUAUUUUGAAGUAUCUAUUCAUAUUUAAUAAAGGCCUGUAAUAAAAUCAUGCAAUGUUUUUCGUGGUGGUUGAGAAAUUUUUACAAUUAUGAUUCAAUUAUCAUUUCUAUCAUGAAAAAAAAUAACAAUUUUCUGAAGCUUUCAUCUCCUUUAAUGUUUUUACGGAAAGCGAAACCAGAUAUGCACAAUAUUUCCUUAGAUGAAACGGACAAUCUCGCCGAGCUUAUUGGCCUGCGCGCAGAUAAAUAAAGCGUCUGGCCUCCGUAAUGGAAAUUACAUACCCCCGAGGUCGGAAAUCAAAUUGACAGAAGAGGUUAAACAAACGAUGCGGUCAGGGAACCCAAGCCGUAGUCCGUCGAAUAUUAAUCGCUUGGUAAAUGCUCUUUUAUUUGUGUUUUCUCUUGCUCGGCUCCUGUGGCUAGAAUGAGCGACAAACUUAAUCUUCUCCGAUCUUGUGUCGUGUUUAUUAGUCUGCUAUUGCGGUAACUUACAAUUCUCUGAAUAAUAUAUUCAUAAUUUGUAAAACUUCAUGCUUUAUCUUUACAAGUUUCAUCGUCUUUACGAUGUGCAAAAAACGAAUGUGAUUACCGAAUUUACUCCAACCUUGUUUGGCAAUUCGAAGUCAUAACUAAUUAGUUGAGUUGAUGAGACACAUUAAAAUUAAAGCUAGCUUUAAUUAUGCCAACUUGGUAAUUAGACAAAAAUGAAAAAAAAAAAACAUUCUUAGCGGCUUUCCUCGGUGGCAAAAAGGAACAGCGAGUGUCUAUUGCUUGAUUGUCCCUUACCUGUAUUUAGUCAAUCCAUAUUCCUUCUUAUUCUUUUAGUGAUACAUUUUAACAGAAGUCAUCGAUCAAUAAGGCGACUUGAACCCUGAUAGUAUCAUUGAUCGAACCGUAAUAAAAAAAAAUUAAUAUUUUUAAAAAGGCAAGCCAAAUAAAGUAAAUCCUAGCUUGCUCCCUGACUAACACCCAACUCAAUUUUUUGCACCUAUGUAGCCGUGCUUACCGUACGUAAGAUAAAAUGAGUAUUAUGUGUAUAAUCUCUAAUAGCCGUAUACCUAUAAUUUUGACAACGUAGUCUUACAUUUCAAAUCUUCGUUAUGCAGACGACAUCACUUUAGUCACGUCAGGUGUUAGCCAGAUGGAAGAGCUACUCGGUAGAGUGGAACGCGUCAGUCUUGAUUUCGGACUUAAAAUUAACCGCAACAAAACAAGUGUCAUGAUUGUCGAUCGUGCUAAUAAUAACUCGCCAGAGGUCACAAAAAUUGCGAACUGCGAUGUCGUACAGUCAUACAUUUACUUAGGUGCACUGAUAUCGAACACUGGCGGGUGCGUUGAUGAAAUCAAGCGGCGUAUGGCUGUUUCGAGGUCAGCCAUGGACAGGCUGAAGAAAAUAUGGGGGAAUCGAAAUAUCACUAAAGCUACUAAAAUCAGACUUGUAAGCGCUGGUCUUCCCCAUUUUUCUUUAUGCUGCUGAGACCUGCACAUUGAGAGAAAGUGAGAAAAAGAGGAUAGAUGCUCUCGAAGUGUGGUGCUGAAGAAGAAUGUUGCAAAUAUCGUGGACAGAGUUCAGAACGAAUCAGUCAAUUCUACAGGAACUCGGCAUCAAGCAGCGACUAUCCUCCAUCGUUCAGGGUCGCAUUCUCACUUUCUUCGGGCAUGUGUCGCGGCGAGGUGACGACUCAGUUGAGCGCCUUGUGGUGCAGGGCAUGAUAGAGGGUACAAGACCGCGCGGCAGAUCACCGUUACGAUGGACCGACCAAAUAAAGGCAGCUUUGAACGGUCCCGUUAACGAGUGCACAAGAAGGGCCGCGGUACGCGAGGAAUGGCGACGUCUGGUGAAGCGCACCACCAACCGAAGUGAUGACCACGACCACUCUGCCAAGAGUGCAUACGACUGAGAAGAAGAAGAAGUCUUACAUUAAUAAAUUAAACACUCUGAUUUUAUAUUUGUCAAUUUGACAAAACUGGCACCUACCCCCACUGAAUCGAGACAGAAAAUGUAAUCGCUAAAUUAUAAUUUAUUUUAAUUGAAAACUGGACAAAUCAUAAUCAUGUCACUGAUUUGAUGAUAAACUCGCAUAUAUUUUUUUUAUGAAAACACGUAAAUGGUAAUCCAAAGUAAGAGCCAUUUCAAGCAGAGUAUUCCGAAGCGCUUCGGGAAUCCGAAUCAAACUCGUCUCAUUAGCCAGUAAAGGAAAACUUGGAUUAGUUGACCAACUUGAAGUAGGUUGUGAAUUGCGCGGGUGCGUUCGGCACGACGACAGACUGCAUAUAGAACAAGUUUUCUUGCUUAACGAAACCGAAUUAACUGAAGAUAGAGGACUCUUAUAUUAUUCUUACAAAAAUGAUUUUGAUUAUCUAGAACAGAAUUUAAGUCAAGUCAAGAAUUCUUUUUUGGGUUAGUUUUGGUUUGAUUAUCGGGUAGCAUUGUUGGCCAAUUAGUCAUAAGGAAUUGAGUUAAGUAAUAGGAGCGCAUCAGCUUACACAAGUAGUCAAAAUUAAAUACCUCUGCAAUGUUUAAAGGGGACCUGUAACGUGAGACCCGAAGUAGAUUUAGAGUUGCUGUGACUACAUUUGGGAAACUCUUUGACAAAGUAUUUUUCGGUCUCACCUUUCCUUUAGCGAGGGCAUUAAAGGCGAUCGGUCAGCUGAAACUUCUGUACUCCUUGUAAAUAUAAUGCUAAAAAAGUACCCUUGUUAACGCCUUUGCCGUGGCUGCGUGUCGUCUAUGAUCUAUAUUAAGCUAAAAAUUUUAUGAGGGAAUAAUCCCCGCUUCUUUACCUAGGUACCUACUUCAUUCAAUUUAAAACAAGUUUCAUUUAAAUAUAAUCUGUCUCUUAAAAUUUUUAUGAGGGAAUAAUCCCCGCUUCUUUACAUAUGUACCUACUUUAUUUAAUUUAUCAAAAAUACAAAACUAAACAUAUCUAAACAAAUUAUUGUACAAAUACAAAAUAAAGUCUCGUAACAGAAAACAACGAGAAUUCAUUGUAUCAUCAGAUACAACCCUAACGCAUAUAUUGGAUUUCUCAUUGGCUUAUCUCAAGUGCAUCCGUAACAUGCACGUAAUACCAUCUUGAAAAUAAUUAUAAAAAAAUAUUUGACGCCGUGGAUGAAAUUACUUACUUGAUGAAAUUUCUAAGGAAAAGUAUUGGAAGCGAUAAAAAUAAAGGUGUUUUAGUCUACGGAAAGGAUAUUAACUGCAACAUUUAUCUAGAGAAGGCGACCACCGCAGCUCGUGGAAAUAACGAUUUCUACAAGUAAUGAGUCGAAAACACUAUACUUUAUGAACAAACACUAGUCGUAGUGGUUGACGCGAGCUUAAGUUUUGUUGGUGCUUGGUGAGCCCGAACAGUUAGAUACCACUGCCCUGCUUAAAUAUACCGCAACGCAGUCACGCGUUUCAAAAUUGGUGUUGAGAUUUGCUAUACGAGUAUGAUGUUUUCGAAAUUUGAUGCCAAUUAAAAACAAAAAAACUAACGAUAAA
Molecule: long non-coding RNA, 4451 nt
Organism: Bombyx mori (domestic silkworm)
Lineage: Eukaryota; Metazoa; Arthropoda; Insecta; Lepidoptera; Bombycidae
Exons: 2
Source: RefSeq, a predicted model, not a curated record